Molecule: ribosomal RNA, 253 nt
Filed under: uncultured bacterium
Lineage: Bacteria
Description: partial 16S ribosomal RNA
Rfam family: Bacterial small subunit ribosomal RNA
Source: RNAcentral
UACGUAGGGGGCUAGCGUUGUCCGGAUUUAUUGGGCGUAAAGAGCGUGUAGGCGGCCAGAUAGGUCUGCUGUGAAAACUCGAGGCUCAACCUCGAGAUGUCGGCGGAAACCAUUUGGCUAGAGUCCGGAAGAGGAAAGUGGAAUUCCUGGUGUAGCGGUGAAAUGCGCAGAUAUCAGGAGGAACACCGGUGGCGAAGGCGGGUCUCUGGGCCGAUACUGACGCUGAGGAGCGAAAGCGUGGGGAGCGAACAGG